UCCUCCGGGGAUGGUGGGGACACUGUUGGGACCGCCUCUGCUAAAGAGGAGGAAGGAAUGGGCAACGGUAGGUCAGCAUGCCCCGAAUUAUCUGGGCUACACGCGGGCUACAAUGGGUGGGACAAUGGGUAUCGACACCGAAAGGUGAAGGCAAUCUCCUAAACCCAUCCGUAGUUCGGAUUGUGGGCUGCAACUCGCCCACAUGAAGCUGGAAUCUGUAGUAAUCGUGUCUCAAAAUGGCACGGUGAAUAUGUCCCUGCUCCUU
Molecule: ribosomal RNA, 265 nt
Filed under: uncultured Methanomicrobiales archaeon
Lineage: Archaea; Methanobacteriati; Methanobacteriota; Methanomicrobia; Methanomicrobiales
Description: partial 16S ribosomal RNA
Rfam family: Archaeal small subunit ribosomal RNA
Source: RNAcentral